GAACCCGAGGCUUCAAAACGGCAGUCCACAGACCGAUGGGUGACAUCACGUGUGCGGUGCUUCACGCUGUCCCUGACCUCAUGUGGGGAUGACCAUCUCUUUCUUUGAACAUUCAACACCGAGCCCCGUCGUCUCCUGCUGAAAACAUCAAAAAUGAAACUACGGCUCAUGAAGAGAAUAGACACAGCCGGUGGAGGUUUUGAAGGUUCCUCUAGACUGGAGAGUCGUCACGGUGGCUUUGCUCCUCGUACUAUGGCGCUUUACGCAGCUGAGGAGAGAUUGUUUCCGGAGGGCCCAGGAGACACGGCAGCGCAUCUACUAAGGACCCACUAGGGAGACCUCCGGCCAAAGACAUCCCACUGGUCGAUCUGCAAAUACAAG
This is a long non-coding RNA of Sebastes umbrosus (honeycomb rockfish), 381 nucleotides long. RefSeq lists it as uncharacterized. Lineage: Eukaryota; Metazoa; Chordata; Actinopteri; Perciformes; Sebastidae. The record is from RefSeq and is a predicted model, not a curated record. The transcript is spliced from 6 exons.